UUUUUUUUUUUUUUUUUUGAGGUAAAAACCCCCACCUUUAUUAAUUCAUGAUGUUCAUGGGGAUAAUUACAGAAUCAUGUGGGGUGCCAAACCACACAUGACGGCCAAUCUCUAAAGAAAUAGCAAAUCUAGCUAAAGCAUGAGCCUCAAAAUUGCUCUUUCUACUCUCAAAACGAAACCUGCAUGCCCCAAACUCUUCUCUUCUGGCUGUUAUCUCCUUCACUAUGGCUGCAUUUGCUCCUCCCGUUCUUUCUACAAUGUCUUUUAUCACUGAUUGGCAAUCGGAUGCAAUCAGUAGGUGGUGUUCAUCUAGGUCAAGAGCCAAAGACAAAGCCUCCCUACAAGCCAAAGUUUCGAGCGUUGGUGGGUCUGUGAUCGCAUAGACCAUUGCUGAACUGCCAAGGUACAUGCCUCGCUCGUCCCUGCAUACAACAGCGGCAGAGCCCCUUCCAUUAUGCGUAGAAAUGGCAGCGUCGACAUUGAACUUUGAGAAUCCCGUAGGUGGCGGAACCCAUGGUUCGCGAACAUUGCAGGGAGCUACCGAGUUUGCUCGAACAUUGCAGGGAGCCGGCGGCGGAGUGGAGGGGCAUGGACGGACACAGCAGAAAUGGACGGGCAAAUGGGCUGAGCUUAAGUAUGGGAUAGACUAGAUCAUCGGGCUGGCUUUGUACUUUGCGGGCUGGGCUUAGCCCAGAAGGAGAUCGAUGUUGACAAUUUUAUUUGUUCUUGAGAACCCAUUGUCGUUGACUUCAUAGCUUCGACAAAAAAAGCUUGAUAGUUUGAAAAAGACUCACGGUGAGUGUCAGCGACUGAUUUCUCAUUCCGUUCGUGACAACAAGCAAUUUCGUGUUCACAAGUUUGCGAUUUGCAUCAGCUGAUGCCUGUCAAGGAACUAUAAAGGUGUGAUUGAAAAUAUGACCACAAAGUGGCUGUAGUUUAGUGGUGAGAAUUCCACGUUGUGGCCGUGGAGACCUGGGCUCGAAUCCCAGCAGCCACAUGUUGUUCUUGUUUUCUUAUUUUCUUAAUACGUUGCAGAAACCAGUGGAACUAUUUUGCUCUUUUGGGCAUACCAUUCACUUAUCUUAACCUUUUCUAUGCAAUAUAUCCGCUGCUGUGCCAAAAUAAUGGCAAGAAUCAGUGACUUCACAUAGAAUCCAGUAACCAAACUAGUUUCUGCACAAGCAUGUCUCUACUGUCAAUGACAUUUUAUAACGAGUCAGAAGUAGCUCCAACCACAAUAUCAUUAUGUUCCUUGGACAUAAUUUACUUCCCUCAACUCUUUCUUCUUGUGUUAACCUUUUUUUCUUGCGGGAUUUCUUGUGUUAACCCUUUCCCCAGGCGUGAAAAUGUAUCCAAGGAAAAAAACUGCAGCGCACAAAAUAGACCCUCAUAACUUACUGUCCAAGUGUCCAAUCAAAUUACAAAGAAUUUGAACCACAAUAUCAUUAUGUUCUUUGGACAUAAUUUACUUCCCUCAACCCUUUCUUCUUGUGUUAACCUUUUUUUCUUGCGGGAUUUCUUGUGUUAACCCUUUCCUUAAGAAAUUCCCCAGGCGUGAAAAUGUAUCCAAGGAAAAAAACUGCAGCGCACAAAAUAGACCCUCAUAACUUACUGUCCAAGUAUCCAAUCAAAUUACAAAGAAUUUGAACCAGCUCCAGCCAAAGCAACACGAGCAUUUCGCUAGAACAGGUUGAAAUGGUUGGUACCGAAUCAGCACAAUCCAGACCAUCCUUUUUUGCGGAUGGCAUAGAAUUCUUCUUUUUCUUCCAAUAGGGAGUGCCAUAUAUUAAUUAUCACAAGUCUUUCAAAAAAGAAGUUGUUAGAUGGAUAAGAGGGCAGAUAGCCCCAGCGAUCGAACCUCAUUCACAGGUGCUCAUAAGGGUAACGGUCUCCAUGUGUGCUUAUAAAGCUGGCCAGCUGGGUUAUAUAUUUGGGAACUUUUGCAACUAUAUCAAAAUUCUUUAUAAACGCACCCUUACAGGAAAAAACAAAAUUAUAUUCAGAGCAAACCUUGAUUGCUGCCUCGGCGCCUCCACGAAGUAAACUUGUUUAACCCAGUUGAUUGGAUCUAAUUAAAGACACAUUUUGCCAUCAUGUCUAUAGUAGCAAACAAUUGAUAAGAUUGUUAUCAUGUCCAUUAGUAUGGGGAUAACUAGAGCAGAUUGUUUCUUGAGAUGCUAAUUAGAUAACGCAUAAGCAUCAGGACAUACUAAUUUGGACAUAGGCAGAAACUCCAAAUUAUUAUUGUCUACACAUCAGGACGGAACUAGAACAGGUAGGAAAAGGCGCAUCACAGCACAAGACGCCUUACACAGCACACGGUACAAGCCACAAGGGGCACGGAUAAUCCAUUAACUAGCUCGAUACGAUACGAUAGAUCUCGUCUUAUUCUGGGUGGCAAUUUAAAACGAAACACACGCUUGCGAUUCAUGCAUAACUACUACUCGCUCCUUCAUCAGGUCCAUCCAUGCCAUCUCCUUGAUCUGAUUUGAUUGAGGCCUCAUGGAUCACUUGCAG
Molecule: long non-coding RNA, 2517 nt
Filed under: Triticum aestivum (bread wheat)
Lineage: Eukaryota; Viridiplantae; Streptophyta; Magnoliopsida; Poales; Poaceae
Description: long non-coding RNA (TAES_LNC025153)
Rfam family: tRNA (bases 926-997)
Source: RNAcentral